UAGUCCAUGCCGUAAACGUUGGGCACUAGGUGUGGGGGACAUUCCACGUUUUCCGCGCCGUAGCUAACGCAUUAAGUGCCCCGCCUGGGGAGUACGGCCGCAAGGCUAAAACUCAAAGGAAUUGACGGGGGCCCGCACAAGCGGCGGAGCAUGCGGAUUAAUUCGAUGCAACGCGAAGAACCUUACCAAGGCUUGACAUGGACCGGACCGCCGCAGAAAUGUGGUUUCCCCUUUGGGGCCGGUUCACAGGUGGUGCAUGGUUGUCGUCAGCUCGUGUCGUGAGAUGUUGGGUUAAGUCCCGCAACGAGCGCAACCCUCGUUCCAUGUUGCCAGCGCGUAAUGGCGGGGACUCAUGGGAGACUGCCGGGGUCAACUCGGAGGAAGGUGGGGACGACGUCAAAUCAUCAUGCCCCUUAUGUCUUGGGCUUCACGCAUGCUACAAUGGCCGGUACAAAGGGUUGCGAUACUGUGAGGUGGAGCUAAUCCCAAAAAGCCGGUCUCAGUUCGGAUUGGGGUCUGCAACUCGACCCCAUGAAGUCGGAGUCGCUAGUAAUCGCAGAUCAGCAACGCUACGGUGAAUACGUUCCCGGGCCUUGUACACACCGCCCGUCAAGUCACGAAAGUUGGUAACACCCGAAGCCGGUGGCCUAACCCCUUGUGGGAGGGAGCUGUCGAAGGUGGGACUGGCGAUUGGGACU
This 698-nucleotide ribosomal RNA is filed under the name uncultured Actinomycetes bacterium. RNAcentral's name for it is "bacterial SSU rRNA". It matches the Rfam family "Bacterial small subunit ribosomal RNA", at positions 791 to 1482 of the family's 1533-position model. Lineage: Bacteria; Bacillati; Actinomycetota; Actinomycetes. The record is from RNAcentral.